Molecule: transfer RNA, 73 nt
Filed under: Orbicella faveolata
Lineage: Eukaryota; Metazoa; Cnidaria; Anthozoa; Scleractinia; Merulinidae
Description: tRNA-Thr
Rfam family: tRNA
About the family: Transfer RNA (tRNA) molecules are approximately 80 nucleotides in length. Their secondary structure includes four short double-helical elements and three loops (D, anti-codon, and T loops).
Source: RNAcentral
GCCUCGUUAGCUCAGUGGUUAGAGCACUGGUCUCGUAAACCAGGGGUCGAGAGUUCAAAUCUCCCACGAGGCU